GGUAGUCCACGCCGUAAACGAUGUCGACUUGGAGGUUGUUCCCUUGAGGAGUGGCUUCCGGAGCUAACGCGUUAAGUCGACCGCCUGGGGAGUACGGCCGCAAGGUUAAAACUCAAAUGAAUUGACGGGGGCCCGCACAAGCGGUGGAGCAUGUGGCUUAAUUCGAUGCAACGCGAAGAACCUUACCUACUCUUGACAUCCAGAGAACUUAGCAGAGAUGCUUUGGUGCCUUCGGGAACUCUGAGACAGGUGCUGCAUGGCUGUCGUCAGCUCGUGUUGUGAAAUGUUGGGUUAAGUCCCGCAACGAGCGCAACCCUUAUCCUUUGUUGCCAGCGGUUCGGCCGGGAACUCAAAGGAGACUGCCAGUGAUAAACUGGAGGAAGGUGGGGAUGACGUCAAGUCAUCAUGGCCCUUACGAGUAGGGCUACACACGUGCUACAAUGGCGCAUACAAAGAGAAGCGACCUCGCGAGAGCAAGCGGACCUCAUAAAGUGCGUCGUAGUCCGGAUCGGAGUCUGCAACUCGACUCCGUGAAGUCGGAAUCGCUAGUAAUCGUAGAUCAGAAUGCUACGGUGAAUACGUUCCCGGGCCUUGUACACACCGCCCGUCACACCAUGGGAGUGGGUUGCAAAAGAAGUAGGUAGCUUAACCUUCGGGAGGGCGCUUACCACUUUGUGAUUCAUGACUGGGGUGAAGUCGUAACAAGGUAACCGUAGGGGAACCUGC
RNAcentral lists this ribosomal RNA (726 nucleotides) under uncultured bacterium. RNAcentral's name for it is "bacterial SSU rRNA". It matches the Rfam family "Bacterial small subunit ribosomal RNA", at positions 789 to 1515 of the family's 1533-position model. The record is from RNAcentral.